AGCUCAAGUCACUCUUCUCUCCUGUGAUGACUCUCCUGUGUUUGUCGAGCCUGCUGAUGUGGUACUUACUGGAAAGUGAUGUGGACCAGCACUUACCAGCCCCUCAGAGGAAAAGAGCCUCCAAGACCUUUGACCUCUGCAAAGAAUGCAAUAAUACGAUCAUAAAAGUAAUGCAGAAUUACUCCCAAGCCUGGAAGAAGCAGGAGGACAAUUUUAAAAAGUUCAGGUAAAACAAAAAGGUCGUCUUGGUUUUGAACUUUAAGGGGAAAAAAUAAAAGAAGGUAAGAAUUACGUACUUUUAAGUUCCAUGACGCUGGGUGGUAAAGGAGGUCAAAAGGGUAAUAAAACCCAACAUAGUGCCUAAUAAGAUGGCCAAGUGUGAUUAAAAGGUUAAACAGAAUGAAACAUGAAUCACAUUAUAGAACUAUUACCAGUGUUUGGGCCUGUUCCAAAAAAA
This is a long non-coding RNA of Labrus mixtus (cuckoo wrasse), 457 nucleotides long. RefSeq lists it as uncharacterized. NCBI's taxonomy places the organism in Eukaryota, Metazoa, Chordata, Actinopteri, Labriformes, Labridae. The transcript is spliced from 3 exons. The record is from RefSeq and is a predicted model, not a curated record.